UCAUAUCAUGUUGAAACACCAGUUCUCAUAUGAUCACCAAAGUUAAGCAAUGUCAAGCCUGAUCAGUACCUUAAUGGGAAACCAUUUGGGAAUACCAGGUGCUGUA
Acanthosepion pharaonis is the source of this 106-nucleotide non-coding RNA. Lineage: Eukaryota; Metazoa; Mollusca; Cephalopoda; Sepiida; Sepiidae. The record is from the annotation of a GenBank genome assembly.